CAGCCGCCGCGGUAAUACGGAGGGAGCUAGCGUUGUUCGGAAUUACUGGGCGUAAAGCGCACGUAGGCGGCUUUGUAAGUUAGAGGUGAAAGCCUGGAGCUCAACUCCAGAAUUGCCUUUAAGACUGCAUCGCUUGAAUCCGAGAGAGGUGAGUGGAAUUCCGAGUGUAGAGGUGAAAUUCGUAGAUAUUCGGAAGAACACCAGUGGCGAAGGCGGCUCACUGGCUCGGUAUUGACGCUGAGGUGCGAAAGCGUGGGGAGCAAACAGGAUUAGAUACCCGCGUAGUCCCUGUCUCUUAUAC
RNAcentral lists this ribosomal RNA (301 nucleotides) under uncultured bacterium. RNAcentral describes it as "partial 16S ribosomal RNA". It matches the Rfam family "Bacterial small subunit ribosomal RNA", at positions 509 to 807 of the family's 1533-position model. The record is from RNAcentral.